This is a long non-coding RNA of Astyanax mexicanus (Mexican tetra), 2700 nucleotides long. RefSeq lists it as uncharacterized. The transcript is spliced from 3 exons. Lineage: Eukaryota; Metazoa; Chordata; Actinopteri; Characiformes; Acestrorhamphidae. The record is from RefSeq and is a predicted model, not a curated record.
CAUAAAAACUGUUACUUAUUUUAGUAAACUGGAUUUAAUGUUAAUAUAGGUUUUAUAAUAUAAUUUUAGAGUCUUUCUUUGUGUGCACUGCGGACAGAAAUGAUUAUUAUUAAUAUUUAAUAUAUAACACUGGCACAUAAUUCAGCACUGAAAGGGAUAUAGUAGGCAUAAGGUGAAUAGUCAGCUCUCUGAAGUUGAUGUGUAAAAGCAUACGAAUCUGAAACACUUUGACAACAUCCAAACUGUGAUGUUCUAGAAGACUGGAUCAGAAUGUAUGCAGUGGUCAUUUUCUACCAAACAUUCUCCAAGGAACAACAACCAGUAAUCUGGUGAUUAUAAGGCUCAUUGAUACUCAUGGAGGCUCCGCCCAUCUCAAAGCUUACACGCCUUUACCGGGUCAGAGCUGUCAUGGUGGCACGAGGGGCUAAUACAAAAUUUUGUGGAGACCCCUUUUACUGAAUGCAUUGAGCUGAGGAGCAGUGGAACUGUGUUCUCUGGAAUGACGGAGCUCCAUCCAGUACUUUGGAAUGAGGUGCACUCUAAGAAAUAUAAGAACAGAUUCGUACUUAAAAGAGUACAAAGCUUGUCGCUGGGGCUGUACCUUAUAUUGAGGUACAAAAAGUACCUUUCAGUGAAAGUCCUUUUUUGUACCCCUGGUUUUUGUGCCAGUAAAGAUUAUAAAGAUUAUAAACAUUAUCAUCAACUAAAUAUGGCUCAAAAACUUGAUGAUCCAAAAUUGUCUGGCUUUUUAAAAAAAAUGGGCAAUUAAAAAAUAUAUUGUUUAUUAGUGCAGUGAUACAGAAUACUGAAUGUACCUUUUGGCCGAAUAAAUGGUACAAUUUUGUACUUAUUGCUGUUAGGAAUGACUUUGUACAACAAAAUCUGACCCUGUAAAGACCGAUAUUGUACCUUUGAGGGUACAAUUAUGAAGAGUGUACCCUUGACUACAAAAAAGUACUCAUAUCGUACCUCUGUUUUUUAGAGUGUGGGGUGGUGAUCACCUAACAUCCUGAUCUCAUUAAUGCUUUUGUUGCUGAAUGCAAUCAACUCUCACAGCAAUGCUCCAAAAUCUAGUAUAAAGCUUUUCCUCCACAGCAGAGCCAGAUACUUACAAACAGAAUAAACUAUUUUCAAAUUCCCCUAAUAUCAAAAGAAACAAUAAAUAAUCAUGUGUCAGUGAAAUGUUUACCUAAACGUAACAUUUACUGAAUAAAACUCAGGUUUCUAUGCUGGAACUGUUUAAUGAAAAUGUUUAUUAUGCAGCAGUGAGAAAAUUUGGCUGCUUUCCAUAAGGACUCAAUAAGUUCUUUUUCUCCAUAACCACAGCUUUUUUCACUAGUUUCUCUCUUUCUGUGUGUGUGUGUGUGUGUGUGUGUGUGAGUGUGUGAGUGUGUGUGUGUGUGUGUGUGUGUGAGUGUGUGUGUGAGUGAGUGUGUGUGUGUGUCUCACAGGGUCACUUAUGAAUGUAGUUGACAGGCCUGUUCUGGCCCACCCGCUCCACCUUGCUGUCUCUGCUGUGAUUCACUGCGUUUCCGGAUGAAGCUUUUGGUACCUCAGGCUGUGAGGAGCUCCAGUUCCCUCAGCUUUUUGACUGGACACACAGUUUUCACCAGGCAACACACUUUUUCCCUGGCUGGGAUGCAAAGGAUGGAAUGCGGGUUCGUUAUGGGGCUGUGGCUCGGCAUGCUGCUCCUAAUCCAAACCACAAGCCUGGACCCGCCCAGCUCCGAGGUCAGGAUUAUAUCGGCAUUCAUCCGCAGGGUGACAGGCGACAGCGACACUGUUGGAUGAAAUGGAGGUGAACGCUCGUGGGCGAGAGUUAGCAUAGCGUGGUGCUGACUCAGUUCAGUACAGUGCAGGUUAUUAUAGCAGGAGGGGGUGUGAGCGCUCCUUUAAAGAAAGAUCAAUUCAACUUUCACUGAAAGAACUGUGUCGAAAUCAAAUCACAGUCGGAACACCUCGCCAUAUGUUUGAUUACGUAAAAUGGAAACUUGAGUUUGGCACCGACACAAAACACCAAAUAAACAACAAAACACAAUUCAUGAGGGAUUAAACCAAUGCCUGUACAGACACAUGCCUUAUAUAUAGCCACUGGAUUAAACACAGUGAAUAGAAAUGAAUAGACAAUUUAAAUAUUAAAUUGGAUAAAAAAAACUUUUUUAAACAUCUUUUUCAAGCAUAUAUUUGAUAUAUGUAAAAUUGUUCAAGGAUUACACACUGCCUGGCCAAAAAAAAAUAAAGUCACCAUCUUUAUUUAAGUAAGUUAAUGCUGAAGUUGAUCAGGUGUAGUGUAUGUGCUAAAAGAAUGAAGUCAGCUGACUACUGAAUAUACUGAAGAUAGCAUGAUCCAGCAUGAUAAUGACCCCAACACACCUCUAGGAGGCUGUGCGUAAAGGUGAUGGACUGGCCAAGCAUGUCUCCAGACCUAAACCCAAUAAAAAAUUUUCGGGGCAUCCUCAAGCGGAAGGUGGAGGAGCUCAAAGUCAUUAAUAUCCGCCAGCUCCGUGAUGUCAUCAUGGAGGAGUGGAAAAUCAUUCCAGUGGAACCUGUGAAGCUCUGGUAAACUCCAUGCCCAGGAGAGUUAAGGCAGUUCUGGAAAAUAAUUAACACAAAGUAUUGACACUUCAGGAACUUUCACUAAGGGGUGUACUCACUUUUGUUGCCGGUGGUUUAGACAUUAAUGGCUGUAUAUUAAGGUAU